AGGUGUCACCGCCCUGCUCCUGCCAGCCAGGCUGGGGACACCCAUGCUCAGAGCCCAGUGCUGGUACCCCCUGAGCCAGCCGGGCCUGAGGGGACACCCCCAUCCCAGGGCAGGCGGAGGGCGGCUCUGACCCUCCUCUUCCUCGCACGGGCAAAGCGGGAAGCAGCUGAUUCCCGAGGAGGGGAGGACGGAUUGCGGCAGCUCUGUCUCUGCCGGCACCAUCCCCGAGGGGACCCCCACAGGACGACUCUUCCCACCCCCUCAGAGCUGUCAGACCGCCGGCAAGAAAAAAAAAAAAAAAAAAAAAAACAAAAAAAGCCUGAAACUUGCAGACAAAGCUGGGAGAAAACCCCAAAACAUCCCAAACGCAGCGACAGCGAAACUCGCAGGGGGCAAGGGGCUGCCUGCACCCCCCUGUCCCAGCCCGGAGGGACCCCCGAGCAGGCUGUGAGCGGCAGGAGCCGUGACAGGCACAGCCCCACGGCACAGCGGCGGCAGAGCCCGUCCUUACCUUGCCGGGCAGGGCGGGCUGGGCUCCGUUCCUGGCCGGCGGGGCUCGUUCAUGGACUCUGGGCAGUCGACACGAACGGAGCCCGGAGCGAGCUGUGCCUGCCCCGCCGAGGCAGCCCGACUUCCCUUUUCCUCUCCGAGAAAUGCAACCACUUCCUUACGUGGGCGUUGGGGGAGCGCGGAGCAGCUCUGCGGCCGCCCUGCCCCUCUGCCUGCGGGCCCGGCCGCUCCGGCUCCGCCGCACCAGGACGCGCCCCGGCCCCGGGAUGCUCCCGCCGCUCGGUGGGACCUGGGCAACUCGCCCUGGGUGCUCCAGGGAAGGACACAGCCAGGAGAACAGAAGGGAAGGAUCCCCGCCGCCUCCCUCUGGCAGCGGGUGCUGCUCACCCCCGGCCCCCGAUGCGUUUCGGAGGGAUGGGGGCUCCCCGAUGCUUGUGCUGGCCCCCACCGGGGAACAGCCGAGCUUGGAGCCCACCCGGGGCGAGACGCUCGUCGGCAUCGCCUCGCACGGCCGGGGAGAGCCGCAGGACCCCGCGGAGCCUGGAUCCGGCCGCCCUCGGCAGCAGCUGCUGCUGGUUCCUGCAUCCCACAGAGCCCAGCGGGACCCAGUGCCAGGCUGGCCGCGGUCACCAUGCCCGUGCCCCCACGCAGCAGACAUCCAGCACUCUGGUUUUAUCACCUCCUGCUUCAGAGCAACUAAUUUUUAUCCCAUUCCUGCCUGGAUGCACUCGAGCCUUCCCUCCUGGGCAUAGGGAUGCACUCACUCAUCCCCCUUCCCUCUCUGCUAUGCCCUGGAUCCCCUGA
RNAcentral lists this long non-coding RNA (1314 nucleotides) under Chloebia gouldiae (Gouldian finch). RNAcentral's name for it is "Erythrura gouldiae (Gouldian finch) lncRNA (ENSEGOG00005006450.1)". Lineage: Eukaryota; Metazoa; Chordata; Aves; Passeriformes; Passeridae. The record is from RNAcentral.